RNAcentral lists this non-coding RNA (23 nucleotides) under Arabidopsis thaliana (thale cress). Lineage: Eukaryota; Viridiplantae; Streptophyta; Magnoliopsida; Brassicales; Brassicaceae. The record is from RNAcentral.
AGUGACUUCAUCACUUUAUUUGG